UACGGAGGAUCCGAGCGUUAUCCGGAAUCAUUGGGUUUAAAGGGUCCGUAGGCGGGCCUGUAAGUCAGUGGUGAAAUCUUUCGGCUCAACCGGAAAAUUGCCAUUGAUACUGCAGGCCUUGAAUUAUUGGGAAGUAACUAGAAUAUGUAGUGUAGCGGUGAAAUGCUUAGAUAUUACAUGGAAUACCGAUUGACGAAGGCAGGUUACUAUCAAUAUAUUGACGCUGAUGGACGAAAGCGUGGGGAGCGAACAGG
Molecule: ribosomal RNA, 254 nt
Filed under: uncultured bacterium
Lineage: Bacteria
Description: partial 16S ribosomal RNA
Rfam family: Bacterial small subunit ribosomal RNA
Source: RNAcentral